GCGCAAGCUAGCAGCGGCGGAAACGAUGAACGUGCUGCGCUUUCUCUAAAACGUGUGAGCCUUGGGAAAGUCUCGUCUUUUUUGUGGCCCCUGCUGGAAAAGGUUUGGACACCCCUGGACUAGACAGUGUGAAUCCUAUCAUGUCCCAUUCCUGGUCACCAUUGACUGGAUUACGAGGAAGACCACGUCAGAUAAACCAAGGUGCAUUCAGUGGACACCUGCCUCACACUUGCAAGAUCUUGACUUUGCAGAUGACCUGGCUGUUCCCUCCACAAAACAGCCAGGAGAAGACUGAUAGACAAAACGGGCGUUAACAUCAACAUAGCCAAAACUCAAGAGAUGUUUAUUCACAACAGCAGAUCUACACCAAUAAAUCACACUUGGAAUUGUAGAUGAUUGUAGAUGAUUUUACCUACUUGGGCGGCCUCAUCAGGAAGGACAAGGGGGCACAAAAAGACAUCAAGGCAAGACAACCUCGCCUCACCUGGAAAUCCAAAAUGGACAGUGAGAAGUUCAAGAUUUGCCUUUGUAAAAUCUGUUCUGAUGUAUGGAUCAGAAGUUACCAAGUCUGAUAAGUGAACAAUUGAGUCUUUCCACAAUAAAUGUCUACGCAGGAUCUGAUGCAUUUACUGGCCAACAAGGUAACCAAUUGUGAGCUGUACAAAAUGACAGUGAUGACGUUGUUGAAGAGAUCAAGUGAAUCCAAUGGCUCGGUCAUGUACUGAAGAUGGAUAGAGAUUGUAUCCCCAAAACAGCCUUAAGAUGGACACCACCGGAAAAUAGAAAGCCAGGAAGACCAAUAAUUACUACUACAAUGAAUCGUACAUGUGGCCAGGUACAGUACCUAGCCAAGGACAACAACAGAUGGACAGAACUCUGUGGCCUUAUGUCCCAGUUGGGACGAAGAGGAUUAAGUAAAUAAUUAUGAGAAACAAACAAAAAAAUAUUAAGUUGUCAUUUUUGGAAAAUUAGGUUGGGGAAAAAUUAUAAUAUAAUGGGAUUAAAGUCAAAAUAUUAUGGUAAUAAAGUCAUAAUAUUACCAAAAGAAAAUUUACAAAGAUUAUUUAAGAAGAAAGUUGAAAUAUUUGGGAAAAAGCAAAGUCCAAAGUUCACAUAAUAAUAUGCUUUUUCCACCUAGAUCACAAAGCCGAGAUGCAGUUUUAUCUUGAAACGUAUAUAACUUCUUAGCAUGUCUACAUGUGUUGCUUUACAACAUGUAUACCUUCUUAUCUACAUGUGUUGCUUUACAACAUGUAUACCUUCUUAUCUACAUGUGUUGCUUUACAACAUGUAUAACUUCUUAGCAUGUCUAACAUGCCAAAGUGGCCCUUGUAUCCUGUUGUUUUCACUAUGUGGCCCUACACCCCUGGCGUAGACAAAAGUCAAUCUGGCUGGCUUUACAUCACGAUAGAGCAUGAUAUGCUGCUUGCUCCUAUGCCUCACAGAACUCAAAACAGAGAAAAAAAAUACAGCAUGUGAGCUACGUUUUUACGUUGUGUCGUGAUCGACAUUGCUGAUUAGUGGUAUGAUACUGGAUAGUAUAAGAAACCUGCUGAUGCCAGAAUCAGUGCUUCAUAUGCCCCAUACGGCAGUAAAUUCCUACAGUCUAAGUAGUGCAGUGACCAUUGUUAAAAACCGUGCGCAGAAUAAACAGGAAACAUUUGAAAGCCUUGUGUCCUCAUGCUGCCUCAGCGGUGCCGCGGUGCUCACAAAGCACAAUUCAACUCUGACUGAGCAUCAGGAGUUUCCUGAGAUAUUCCGACCCCUCCACAGGACGGACUCUCCUCUGUGUCCAGUGUGACUCGUGAAGUUGUUGGAUUAGUGACGACCUUCAGUGUCAUUUCCUCUCAGCUGCCAAAGCAGCACCCAAGGGUGGCUAUGGCCCUCUCAAUGUCAAUGCGGACCUUUUUAAGAUUAACGACUACUUGUUUCCUGAAUCUGCUGGACUUCUCCUGAGUGGGCUUAGAAAUGACCCUUGACCAGCAACAAAAUCUUUAAAAAACUGUUGAGGUCAUAUUGUUUUUACCCAGAAUGUAUGCUAUACACGUCUCGCACAUCAGCGACCAUUUUUAUUAGAGUAUUGUUUUGUCAAAGACAAUGCUGGAGUAGUCAGUGUACUGCUAAAGCAGUCUAGAUUAAAUGUGUCCCAAACAUAACACGCAGCCAUUAUUGACACACAAGAGAGUACACCUCUCAAACAUGUUCCAAUUGUGUCCAAGGUGUCAGUAUUUGUUGUGAGCGCCAUUAUUUUGCACUGCCUUAAUCCUCUUGGACAUGGAAUUCACCAUUCCUGCACAGGUGGUUCGCCUCAGAAUGCCACAGCACAUUAGAAUUCAAAUUUCCCUCAGUGAACUGUAGCUCCCCAAUGCGGGAAGCACUCAUGCAGCCCCAUUUAUCUAUCCACAAUCUGUCUAGCAGAGAGCCUUCUUUAGUCAGUCAGUGUAUGUUUGCAGACGUGAUCAUUCUGGCUCUGCACUGUCUGAUAUUAAACGUCUAGCAAAGUUUUCCAUUCCCUUUAAAGUUAUGGUAUGUGACAUUCUAUGGCAGCAGAUCAACUGACCCACGUGGAGUCACACAUUAACCUCACACUAAUCUCCGGCUCGGUCAGUUUGUUUUUAGGUCACAGAGGAGAGAACAUUCCUGCAGACCUUAGUUAGCUUAAAUGCUGUUUGAAGGGAGCCGAUGUAGUACAGACGUGGCAAGGGCAUGUCUCUUGUACGUCACCAUUAGAAUGGUCAAAUUAAGGUCAUGAUUUCAUAAUUUGGCCUCUCUUGUUUUAAGCACUUUAUCAGUCGCUGGUUUUAAACUACCACUUGCCAAAUUUUGGACUGCAGGCUAAAAUAAUCCAUUUAUGAGAGCAGAGUCCAACUUUUUGCGACAGUCAAGGUGUAAAUAUUUGCAUAGGUACUCAGCGCUUCCAGCACUCUUCAUAUUUUGCCUUGUUUUUAAUGAGUCUGGACAUUCUACUUAGUCAAAUUAUUGGGGAGUCUUAGAAUAGUCAACUAUUUGACGAUACAACUCGGAAGAGUCUGGUUCAACUGUCAAUCUCGCCAACGAAUCAUAUAAAAAUGUCACAUGAUCAAGAUACCAUUCUGACACAGAUGGGGGGUGCCCACGGGUGCUGCUGAGCAUACAUUUUGAAAAAGAAUGGACAGCCUAUUUUGUGCUAAUAAAAAAUUUAAAUGGACGUGUGUGUUUAACAGAAGAUCUAUACUUACCACGCCUGAAUGAAAUCACCCGCUUCAUCGAUGGGCUUAUUGGCUCGUAAUGCCUACUUUAAAAAAUCAUCCAAAGUCUGGAAGUAUUUUGAAAAGGUUACAGCUGACUCCAAAAACUGAAGUGCUUCUUGUGUCAGCAGCUUUUUAUAUGUCACGUGACAACAACCAACAGCGUAGCAUUUAAAACAGGUAAGACUGUUACGCCGACUGUGGAUUUUAAUGCAAGAAAUUCGUUUUGGAGAGUUGUUGUUUUGUUUUUUUUUGUUGUUCCUAUUUUAUGUGCACUUUUGUGAUAUA
Molecule: long non-coding RNA, 3515 nt
Organism: Dunckerocampus dactyliophorus (ringed pipefish)
Lineage: Eukaryota; Metazoa; Chordata; Actinopteri; Syngnathiformes; Syngnathidae
Exons: 3
Source: RefSeq, a predicted model, not a curated record